This 3431-nucleotide long non-coding RNA is filed under the name Salmo salar (Atlantic salmon). RNAcentral's name for it is "lncRNA (ENSSSAG00000118775.1)". Lineage: Eukaryota; Metazoa; Chordata; Actinopteri; Salmoniformes; Salmonidae. The record is from RNAcentral.
AGACUGGCCAGCCUGCCUCGAGCUGUAGACUGGCCAGCCUGCCUCGAGCUGUAGACUGGCCAGCCUGCCUCGAGCUGUAGACUGGCCAGCCUGCCUCUGAAUUGUCUGUCCUUUCUCGUAAUGUGUGCAUUUGUCCACUUCCUUUCAUGGAUUUAAAGGAAAUUACUGGUUUAAGAAAUAUGAUGGAAAGACUCUCUCUGUAUACAGUGGACACCAAUCUAACCCAACGCUUUUAAAUGAGCGGGGAGGAGUACACAAUUGCACACUUUUUAAGGGAUAGGAGGGAUAAUUGUGUUUCAGAGUGGGUCUCUUGAGGUGAAGUUGUCUUAAAGGGGCUUUUGUCUUUUCCAUUAUAAUCAGUGCUGAUGGGGAGGUGUGUUAAUAGCAGGGUUGACUGUAAUGUUCUUCAGGAUAUUUUUUUUAACAACCAUGUCAGUGCAAUAAUUGUCUUUAUGGCAAGGGUUACUAAAAUGUGACAAGAAUUUUUAGGGAUCAAGAAGAUCUAGUUUAAAGUUUUGUCACAUGCACAAGUACAGUGAAAAGCUUGACUUGCACGCUCUACCCAACAGUGCAGUAAUCAAUAUCAAAAUAGUAUAACUCAUUUUUUUAUAUGUGUGUGUGUGUGUGUGUGUGUGUGUGUGUAUAUACUGAACAAAAAAUAUAAACGCAACGAUUUUACUGAGUUACAGUUAUAAGGAAAUCAGUCAAUUGAAAUAAAUUCAUUAGGCCAUAAUCUAUGGAUUUCACAUGACUGGUUAGGGACACAGCCAUGGGUGAGCCUGGGAGGGCAUAGGCCCACCCACUUGGGAACCAGGUCCAGCCAGUCGGAAGAAGUUUUUUUUCUUUUUCCCCACCGAAGUGCUUUAUUGCAGACAGAAAUACUCCUCAGCAAGCCCCCCCCGUCAAUCCCGCAGGUGAAGAAGCUGGAUGUGGAGGUCCUGGGCUGGCGUGGUUACAGGUGGUCUGUGGUUGUGAGGCUGGUUGGACGUACUGCCAAAUUCUCUAAAAUGAAGGAGGCGGCAUAUGGUAGUGAAAUUAACAUUAAAUUCUCUGGCAACAGUUCUGGUAGAUAUCCCCGCAGUCAGCAUGCCAAUUGCAAGCUCCCUCAAUUUGAGACAUCUGUGGCAUUGUGUUGUGACAAAACUGCACAUUUAAGUGGCCUUUUGUCCCCAGAACAAGUUGCACUUGUGUAAUGAUAAUGCUGUUUAAUCAGCUUCUUGAUAUGCCACACCUGUCAGGUGUAUGGAUUAUCUUGGCAAAUGAGAAAUGCUCACUAACAGGAAUGUAGACAAAUUUCUGCACAAAAUUUGAGAUAUAAACUUCUCGUGCAUAUGGAAAAUCUGCGAUCUUUUAUUUCAGCUCAUGAAACAUGGGACCAACACUUUACAUGUUGCGUUUAUAUUUUUGUUCAGUGUAAUAAAGAAAACACAUGGCCAGGGGUUAGAAGCUGAUGAUGUCUGUUUGUCUGAGCCUUGAUGGACCAGUAUCAUCUUCUCAGUCACCGCCUGGCAUGUACGUCCUGGAUGGCUGGGAGCUCACCCGCAAUGAUGAGCUGGAACGGUCCGUACCACCCUCUGUAGGGCCUUCCGGUCGAGGGCGGUGUAGUUGCUAUAUCAGACGCUUAUACAACCAGUCAGGAUGUUCUCGAUGGUGCAGCUGUAAAAGUUCCUAAGGAUCUGAUGGGCUAUGCCAAAUCAUUUCAGCCUCCAGAGGGAGAAGAGGCACUGCGGUGCCUUCUUUACGACUAUGCUGUUGUAGGAGGACAAUGAUAAGUCUUCAGUGAUGUAGACACAGGAACUUGAAGCUCUUGACCCUCUUCACUGCAGUCCCGUUGAUGGGGCCCCUCUUUCCUGAAUUCCAAGAUCAGCUCAUUGGUCUUGCUGACAUUUAGGGCGAGGUUGUUGUGCUGACCUCUUCCCUGUAGGGUUUCCCAAAUGCGGUCCUUGGGACCACAAGGGGUGCAAGUUUUGGUUUUUGCCCUAGCACUGCACAGCUGAUUAGUUGAUUAUUUUGAUAAUCAAGUUUUGAUCAUUUAAAUCAGCUGUGUAGUGUUAGGGCAAAAACCAGAAUGUGCACCCCUUGGGGUCCCAAGGACCGAGUUUGGGAAGCGCUGCUGUAGGCUGUCUCAUCGUCAUUGGUGAUCAGGCAGACCACAGUCGUGUCGUUAGCAAACUUGAUGAUGGAGUUGGAGGCGAGCAAUGAUUGGGGGGGGGGGCCCUGUGUUGAGGGUCAGCUUGUUGGGUGUGUUGUUGCCUAACCUCACCACCUGAUGUCAGUCUGUCAAGAAGUCCAGGAUUCAGUUGCAUAGGGAGGUGUUCAGUCCCAGGGUCCUGAGCUUGGUGACGAGCUAUAAUAUGCUUACAUGUUACUUUUAGUGAUUGAUUACGUUUUGAGCUUCUGAUCAUCAAUUAUUCAAAAGGCCUUUAAAAAAUACAAUGUUUAUGGUUGUGGCUUUUAAGUGUUCCUCAAUGAUUUCCACUUGAAAUGAUAUCGUAGUUAGCCAGGACAGUGCAUUUAUUAAAAAGGGAAAUGUAUUUCUAGUACUUUACAACUGCACUUUCAGAUGAAAUAUUUGUGUACCUUAACUUUUAGGUAUAUUAUUGCUGAUUAUUUUGCCGCCAUUGUAAUUACCUUUUUUCUGCAGCAAACCUAUCUGAAAAAAUAUUAACCAGACAAGUCCCAAUACGUCUUGUACUGUUUGUUUGAGUAAAUCAACUUCUUUCAUAGCCUUUGUAAUGGCAUUGCAUCAUAUGCCUUUGUAUUCCAGCAAUCAUUAUUUUACAGUAUGACUUUUUAUUUUGCUCUCUCUCUUUGUAGAAGAUGAGGCAGCUUCUUCUCUGUGACAUUUAAAAUGUAAUUUCAAUAACACACAUCACAAUUCCAUUGCUCACAUUUGUUCUAAUGCUUAACAGUUGGAAAUGUAGAUAUUUGUAACAUAAAUAACAACAGUGUAAUGUCUAAGUGUUACUGAUUUAUGUCUGGUGUGUGAUAAGAUAAAGUUACUGAAUUUGACAUAUAUGCAGCAUUAGAGUGCUAAGGGCCUAUCAUAGAAAGACAACCAGUUGCAGUAAUCAUUUUUGGGAAAAAUACCAACAGUCUUAGGCUGGUCCUGAGAGAUUUUGCAGCAACACAUUAUGUGAAUUGUCUUAUUCGAUGUAGAUGCCACCAAACAUGCACACAAAUCAAUGACUAUUUAGCCUGUAAGGUUGAAUAUAAUGUAUGUUACAUUGUCUGAGAUGCUAGACCAGGCAUAGAUCUACACAUGUAUAGUAACUCCACCACCUCUUUGUCAUAUUUAGCUUUCAUACUUGUCAUAUUGACUGUAAACAAUAACAAAACAAGAGUCUGAAAUGUGUUAGCAGUGUUUGUUGAAUGUCUAAAAGGGAAUUGUCAAGCAGUUUACUAAUAAAUAAAUAAAAAUAUUGAAGGAA